AAAAGAACAGACCAAUGAUCGCUGCUAAUUGAACCGAUUUCGGAACGCAUUGUCACUUGAUUCGACUUGUAACAAGGUAAUUUGGUUAAUGAGACUUGAAUAAAAACAAAGUAAUUUGGUUACUAACUAAGACUAAUCUCCGUCAAUAAAUACAAAAAAUUGGAAAAGCAACCAAUUCCGUUUGUUAAUGAAACAAGAUAUGCCAAACGUCAAUUAUUCAAGAUUGGUUAGAACGACAGUAUUAACAAAGAAAUAUUAAACAGUAAUUACUUUUACUAUUAAACAGUUAAUACUUAAUAUACUUAAUAUUAGAGAGAAAGUCCUAUAAACUUUGCCCUAAAGCUAACAACAUAUGAUUACAAAUUUUUAAUAAAAAUAUUUUGUUGGUA
Molecule: unclassified non-coding RNA, 389 nt
Filed under: Monomorium pharaonis (pharaoh ant)
Lineage: Eukaryota; Metazoa; Arthropoda; Insecta; Hymenoptera; Formicidae
Description: coiled-coil domain-containing protein 115, transcript variant X1
Source: RNAcentral